This 2337-nucleotide long non-coding RNA is filed under the name Octopus vulgaris (common octopus). Lineage: Eukaryota; Metazoa; Mollusca; Cephalopoda; Octopoda; Octopodidae. The record is from RNAcentral.
AUUAGGGCAGCGAGCUGGCAGAGUUGGUAGCACACCAGACGAAAUGCUUUGCAGCAUUUCGUCCAUCUUUACGUUGAGGGUUUCAAAUUCCGCCGAGGUUGAGUUUGCCCUUUCAUCCUUUCGGGGGGGGGGUCAACAAAAUAAGUACAGAUGAGGUUGAUGUAAUUGACUGGCCCCUCCCCUCAAUUUAUUGACCUUGUGCCUAUGAUAGAAAAAGAGUAUUAUUAUCAUUCGACUAAAACAAUUCUUCGACGUGGUGCCCCAGCAUGGCCGGAGUCCAAUGACUGAAACAAGUAAAAGAUAAAAGAUUAUUGGCAAACUGGCUGACCGUUAGCUGACCGGCCGGACAAAAUGCUUCGUGGCAUUUCUUCCGGCUUAGAAAUCUGAUUCUUGCCAGGGUCGGACUUUACCUUUCAUUCAUAACAGAGUUGAUUGAAUAAAGGAACCGGUCAAGUGUGUGGGGGUGGGGUGGAGGUGGUCGUGUUGGAGUGUUGAUGAUGAAGAUGGUGGUGGUAAUGAUGAUGAUGAGGGAGAUGAUGACGAUGAUAAUGAUGAUGAGGUGGUGAUGGUGAUGACGGUGGAGAAGUUGAUGAAGACGAUAGUCAUGACGAAGAUGAUGUGGUGGUGAUGGUGACAAAUGAUGAUGAUGAUGGUGGUGGUGGUGGUGAUGACGGUGGAGAAGUUGAUGAAGAUGAUUGUGACGAUGAUGACAAUGAUGAUGUGGUGAUGAGAUGGUGAGGGUGAUGACGGUGGAGAAGUUGAUGAAGACGAUGGUGAUGACGAUGUUGAUUACGACAAUGAUGAUGAUGAUGUGGUGAUGAUGGUGGUGGUGAUGGUGGAGAUGAUGCUGACAAUGAUGAUGAUGAUGGUGGUGGUGGUGGUGAUGAAGACGAUGAUUAUGACAAUGAUGAUGAUGACGAUGAUAAGAACUUAACUAUAAUGUUAUGACAUUUAGAGCAAAAGCACAAAAGAAAAAUCAAAGAAUCAGAUUCUUUUUUUUUGUUUUUCGGAUGGAAUUCAAACGGGGAGAAUAAAAAAAAAUAAGAAAAAUAAAUAAGAAGCAAAAAUAAUAGAAAAUAAAACGAAAAAGAAAGCAAAAAAUCCGACUUUGUUUUAAUAUAGACAUCAGUAGAUUUCAUGGAGGACUGUCUACAUGGGAAGGACUAUGGCAGACACCACAACAUCCACCCGGGGUGGUGGUGGUGGUGGUGCAAUGGUUCGGGUGGUGGCGUUAAGGUAAUAGAGUCAGAGGAGAAAACAGAUCUGAUGUUGCAAGGUGUGGUGGAGGCGGUGGUGGAAGAUAAAACAAAACAAAAAGAAACUAAAUCAGCAAAAAGACUAGUAGUAGUGGUGGUGGUAGUGGUAGUUGUAGAGGCGGUGGUGGUAGUAGUAGUAGUAGAGGUGGUGGUCGUGGUAGUAGUUGUAGAGGUGGUGGUGGUGGUAGUAGUUGUAGAGGUGGUGGGUAGUAGUAGUUGUAGUGGUGGUGGUGGUAGUGGUGGUGGUGGUAGUAGUUGUAGAGGUGGUGGUAGUAGUGGUGGUGGUGGUAGUAGUUGUAGAGGUGGUGGUAGUAGUAGUAGUGGUGGUGGUGGUAGUAGUUGUAGAGGUGGUGGUGGUAGUAGUAGUAGUAGAGGUGGUGGUAGUAGUGGUGGUGGUGGUAGUAGUUGUAGAGGUGGUGGUAGUAGUAGUGGUGGUGGUGGUAGUAGUUGUAGAGGUGGUGGUAGUAGUGGUGGUGGUGGUAGUAGUUGUAGAGGUGGUGGUAGUAGUGGUGGUGGUGGUAGUAGUUGUAGUAGAGGUGGUGGUAGUAGUAGUAGUGGUGGUGGUGGUAGUAGUUGUAGUAGAGGUGAUGGUAGUAGUAGUAGUGGUGGUGGUGGUAGUAGUAGUAGUAGAGGUGAUGGUAGUAGUAGUAGUGGUGGUGGUGGUAGUAGUAGUAGUAGCAGCAGUAUUAGUAGUGGUGGUGGUAAUAGCAGCAGUAAUGGUAGUAGUAGUACUAUAGUAGUAGUAGUAGUAGUAAUAGAAGCAGUAAUGGUAGUAGUAGUGGUGGUGGUGGUAGUGGUGGUGGUGAUGGCAUCAGCAGCCGUAGUUAUGAUUGUAGCGAAAGUUCUUGAGAGAGAAAGAGAUUUACCAUUUUGCAGGACAUCAAUUCUCUUUUCUUCACCAGCAAAUGUAUGCCAUGAGACAGAGUGUGUGUGUGUGUGUGUGUGUGUGCAAAUAUAUGUGUGUGUGUGUGUGUGAAUAUAUAUAUGUAUGCAUGUGUGUGAAUAUGUGUGAGUGUGUGUGUGUGUGUGUGUGAAUAUAUGUUAUAUAUAUAUGUGUGUAUGUGAGAAAAAAAAAAUAUAU